UCUACACCCUUUGUGACAUACCUACAACUGUUGCUUCGGCGGGUAGGGUCCCCGUGACCCUCCCGGCCUCCCGCCCCCCCGGGCGGGUCGGCGCCCGCCGGAGGAUAACCAAACUCUGAUUUAACGACGUUUCUUCUGAGUGGUACAAGCAAAUAAUCAAAACUUUUAACAACGGAUCUCUUGGUUCUGGCAUCGAUGAAGAACGCAGCGAAAUGCGAUAAGUAAUGUGAAUUGCAGAAUUCAGUGAAUCAUCGAAUCUUUGAACGCACAUUGCGCCCGCCAGCAUUCUGGCGGGCAUGCCUGUUCGAGCGUCAUUUCAACCCUCAAGCUCUGCUUGGUGUUGGGGCCCUACAGCUGAUGUAGGCCCUCAAAGGUAGUGGCGGACCCUCCCGGAGCCUCCUUUGCGUAGUAACUUUACGUCUCGCACUGGGAUCCGGAGGGACUCUUGCCGUAAAACCCCCCAAUUUUCCAAAGGUUGACCUCGGAUCAGGUAGGAAUACCCGCUGAACUUAAGCAUAUCAAUAARGSCGGAGGAA
Molecule: ribosomal RNA, 536 nt
Filed under: fungal sp. SNB-LAP1-7-53
Lineage: Eukaryota; Fungi
Description: eukaryotic LSU rRNA
Source: RNAcentral